UACGUAGGGUGCAAGCGUUGUCCGGAUUUAUUGGGCGUAAAGAGCUCGUAGGCGGUUAAGAAAGUCGGGUGUGAAACCUCCAGGCUCAACCUGGAGACGCCACUCGAUACUGCCAUGACUCGAGUCCGGUAGGGGAGUGCGGAAUUCCUGGUGUAGCGGUGAAAUGCGCAGAUAUCAGGAGGAACACCGGUGGCGAAGGCGGCACUCUGGGCCGGUACUGACGCUGAGGAGCGAAAGCGUGGGGAGCGAACAGG
RNAcentral lists this ribosomal RNA (254 nucleotides) under uncultured bacterium. RNAcentral's name for it is "partial 16S ribosomal RNA". It matches the Rfam family "Bacterial small subunit ribosomal RNA", at positions 524 to 776 of the family's 1533-position model. The record is from RNAcentral.